GGAUGAUGCAGGGGGAUCAGGACAGAGGUUACAGUGAGGUGAGAGGGGGGUGAAGAGAUACUAGGUCACAGCUUAAUUUAUUGGUCACGUAGAGUUUUGCAGAUGUUAUCGCAGGUGCAGCGAAAUGCUUAUGUUUCUAGCUCCAACAGUGCAGUAAUAUCGUGUGUGUUGCUGCUGUGAACCUGGUGACAUCACUUCCCAGGUCCGAUUAGUGUCAUACACUCUGGGGAUCCGGUGUCGGCUAAGCCAUUCAGUUUCUAAGAACUUCCCCUUCCACCUUUUCACACACACCUUUUUGUAAAUUUUUUAAAUCCGUUAUUUUACCAGGUAAGUUGACUGAGAACACAUUCUCAUUUGCAGCAACGACCUGGGGAAUAGUUACAGGGGAGAGGAGGGGGAUGAAUGAGCCAAUUGUAAACUGGGGAUUAUUAGGUGACUAUGAUGGUUUGAGGGCCAGAUUGAGAAUUUAGCCAGGAUACUGGGGUUAACACCCCUACUCUUAUGAUGAGUGCCAUGGGAUCUUUAAUGACCUCAGAGAGUCAGGACACCCAUUUAACUUCCCAUCUGAAAGACGGCACCCUACACAAGGCAGUGCCCCCAAUAACUGCCCUGGGGCAUUGGGAUAUUUUUUUUUAGACCAGAGAAAAGAGUGCCUCCUACUGGCCCUCCAACACCACUUCCAGCAGCAUCUGGUCUCCCAUCCAGGAACUGUCCAGGACCAACCCUGCUUAGCUUCAGAAGCAAGCCAGCAGUGGUAUGCAUACGCAUGCGUCGUAGACCUUUGAGAAGGAGGGUGAGAAAUGGUUGGGAGAGAGGGAAACAGAGAGACAUGGUUGGGAGAGAGAGGGAAACAGAGAGACAUUGGUUGGGAGAGAGAGGGAAACAGAGAGACAUUGGUUGGGAGAGAGAGGGAAACAGAGAGACAUUGGUUGGGAGAGAGAGGGAAACAGAGAGACAUGGUUGGGAGAGAGAGGGAAACUGAGACAGUGGUUGGGAGAGAGAGGGAAACAGAGAGACAUGGGAAACAGAGAGACAUGGUUGGGAGAGAGAGGG
Molecule: long non-coding RNA, 1053 nt
Organism: Oncorhynchus tshawytscha (Chinook salmon)
Lineage: Eukaryota; Metazoa; Chordata; Actinopteri; Salmoniformes; Salmonidae
Source: Ensembl